UCAGCCCCGAGACAUCCAAGGACAGUCGGCCACAACAGGACGCACCACAUCACGCGCAGCAUGCGCUCCACCCCCAUAUCUGCAGAAUCAGGGUGAGGCCGCUGCAACCGUCACGGCACAAAACAGUCUCGGGUCUGACAGACUCAGUCCCAUAUCCACAAGAACAAGAGUUUGAAACAUCCUCAAUCUCCCAAUGAUUGAGGGGCUUAAUCCAAGAGCAGACGCCGAUGCAGUGAUGUCUUCAGAGCCUGGACACCAGAGGAGAUGCGCUGAGUUUCCAGUGACCAGGGGAUCCACUGGACUCCCUCUUCACUUAUCCCAGAGACUGCAGAGAGGAUGAGGCAUGGCUUGUGGCAGAGACGGAGGCGACUCCAGAUUCAGAGGCCUGCCAAUUUAAAAUGGAUGGCGGACAGCAAAUGCCCCCCGUGCCGUAGUUUAGCCCCCCCUGUGCUGGAGCAACAACAUACAGGUCUGAAUCAGCAUUGCACCUAUCAUCCACAGAGGGGUGGAGCAGUUGCAAGAGAAAAUGGAACAAUUAAAAACAAACUGGUCAAAUGCUGUGAUGACACAGAACUCUCAUGGAUUAAAGCCCUAGCGGUUGUGUUAAUAACCAUAAGAGAGAGGGGAAGGGCCAGAACAGUUCUGUCCACAUUUGAAAUUCUUCCAGGCAGACCUAUGAAUACCUGGAUGUCCCUCCCCCAAGAAAAUCAAGUCCCCAACUCAGAAAUCCCAGAAGAUGUGAAGCUUAGUUAAUGUGUGCACAUAACCAAAAUGUUGAGCCUCAUACACCCAGGUAAAUGCAGCAAUCCCGCAACCAGCAGAGGGCCAGUUACAUAACCUGAGACCAGGAGACUGGGUGCUGAUAAAAGACCUAAAGAGGAGGCACUGGAGGAAAUCCAGAUGGACUGGACCCCAUUGAGUGCUCCUCACACAACCUACAGUGGUUAAUGUGAAAGAAAGCACCACCGGGAGAAGAAAAUACACAGGCAAGUGUCGGCCUACUUUGAAAUAAAUUAAACACAGAACUCUGUAGGGCUAUUUGAGUCCUCCCCAUAUUUGUGGGAAAUGUAUGAAAUAAGAAGUAGCCUAUUUUGAAAUAAAUAAAAACAUAUAGCUGCAGCCUAAUAGCUUGAAAGUAUAUAUUUUAGUUGGCGAAAUGUGAAAACAAAAAGCAAGAGCAGGUCAGACUGGAGGCGGACACAGAUACUGAAGCUCAGUAGAAACCACCAGCAGCAUCUGCUCUGAUCAAGAAGCUGCAGCGCUGAUCUCUGAGCAGAUGAGACCAGAGAAACUCUGUGUUUUCACUGUUUCCACUGAUAAGAAGCAGCCGGUGAGUCAGUGAGCGGCUGCUUCACCUGAACGAGUUCUGGUCUCACUGUGUCUCUGAGCGAGUGAGCAGGGCGGGGGGCGAAG
Long non-coding RNA from Platichthys flesus (European flounder), 1413 nucleotides. RefSeq lists it as uncharacterized. The record is from RefSeq and is a predicted model, not a curated record. Lineage: Eukaryota; Metazoa; Chordata; Actinopteri; Pleuronectiformes; Pleuronectidae. The transcript has 3 exons.